AUUGAACGCUGGCGGCAUGCUUUACACAUGCAAGUCGAACGGCAGCGCGGGGGCAACCCUGGCGGCGAGUGGCGAACGGGUGAGUAAUACAUCGGAACGUACCCAGAAGUGGGGGAUAACGUAGCGAAAGUUACGCUAAUACCGCAUACGUUCUACGGAAGAAAGUGGGGGAUCGCAAGACCUCAUGCUUUUGGAGCGGCCGAUGUCUGAUUAGCUAGUUGGUGAGGUAAAGGCUCACCAAGGCGACGAUCAGUAGCUGGUCUGAGAGGACGAUCAGCCACACUGGGACUGAGGACACGGCCCAGACUCCUACGGGAGGCAGCAGUGGGGAAUUUUGGACAAUGGGCGCAAGCCUGAUCCAGCCAUGCCGCGUGAGUGAAGAAGGCCUC
RNAcentral lists this ribosomal RNA (389 nucleotides) under uncultured bacterium. RNAcentral's name for it is "bacterial SSU rRNA". It matches the Rfam family "Bacterial small subunit ribosomal RNA", at positions 30 to 418 of the family's 1533-position model. The record is from RNAcentral.